CAUAUGUGAAGUACUGUCUAAUCUUUAUCAAUAAAAAAUGGUUCUUCAAUUCAGAAAAAAAAUAGAUUUUCCUAGUAUAUAAAGUAAACAAACUUGAAUGUCUAUAGGGAACAUUUAAAAUUGCAAACAUAUGUGUGUUUAGAAGCAGUUUCGUAGGGGACAAAAGUCCCCUACGAAACAGUACUCAAAUUAUGAAAAAAAUAUCAUUUUAAGGAGUAUUUAAGAUUGCAGUUUUUGUUUACAAACAGGUC
Molecule: long non-coding RNA, 251 nt
Filed under: Mytilus galloprovincialis (Mediterranean mussel)
Lineage: Eukaryota; Metazoa; Mollusca; Bivalvia; Mytilida; Mytilidae
Source: RNAcentral